CCAGCCUGCCGCGUGCAGGAUGAAGGCCUUCGGGUUGUAAACUGCUUUUGUACAGAACGAAAAGGUCUCGGUUAAUACCUGGGGCCCAUGACGGUACUGUAAGAAUAAGCACCGGCUAACUACGUGCCAGCAGCCGCGGUAAUA
Molecule: ribosomal RNA, 144 nt
Filed under: uncultured bacterium
Lineage: Bacteria
Description: partial 16S ribosomal RNA
Rfam family: Bacterial small subunit ribosomal RNA
Source: RNAcentral